AUAUUCAAAUGAGAACUUUGAAGACUGAAGUGGAGAAAGGUUCCGUGUGAACAGCAGUUGGACACGGGUGAGCCGAUCCUAAGAGACAGGAAAAUUCCGCCGAACGCGGCCUCUUCUGUAGGCCCGUCCGUCGAAAGGGAAUCAGGUUAAUAUUCCUGAGCCAGAGCGAGGAUGGUGGGCGGCAACGCGUACGAACCCGGAGACACCAGCGGGAGCCCUGGGAAGAGUUCUCUUUUCUUCUUAACUGCCUAAUGCCCUGGAAUCGGUUUAGCCGGAGAGAGGGCUACAUGGCAGGCAAAGCACCCUAAGUCUUGGGGUGUCCGGUGCGCUCCCGACGGUCCGUGAAAAUCCGGGGGAGCGGUUCGUUCUCUCGCCUGGUCGUACUCAUAACCGCAUCAGGUCUCCAAGGUGAACAGCCUCUAGUCUUAUAGAGCAAUGUAGGUAAGGGAAGUCGGCAAAAUGGUUCCGCAACUUCGGGAGAAGGAAUGGCUCUGAAGGCUGGGCACAGGGGUCCCAAGUUUGAAGCCGGACGCUGCGCGAGGACUACUGGCAACGGCGGACCUUGCGCGGCCGAAGGUGGACGGCCUGGGAACUGGUUUGCGCCUUUCCCUGUGUAAUGAACAGCUACUUCAGAACUGGCGCGGACAAGGGGAAUCCGACUGUUUAAUUAAAACAAAGCAUUGCGAUGGCCCGCGAGGGUGCUGACGCAAUGUGAUUUCUGCCCAGUGCUCUGAAUGUCAAAGUGAAGAAAUUCAACCAAGCGCGGGUAAACGGCGGGAGUAACUAUGACUCUCUUAAGGUAGCCAAAUGCCUCGUCAUCCAAUUAGUGACGCGCAUGAAUGGAUUCGUGAGAUUCCCACUGUCCCUAUCUACUGUCUAGCGAAACCACAGCCAAGGGAACGGGCUUGGAAGAAUCAGCGGGGAAAGAAGACCCUGUUGAGCUUGACUCUAGUCUGUUACUGUGGAACGACUUGAUGGGUGUAGAAUAUGCGGGAGGGGCAACCCGACAGUGAAAUACCGCAACCGUCAACGUUGUUUUACUUACUCGGUGGCGCGGAGGGAGGCUCGCCUCACUUCUGGAUCCAAGCCGCUUCGUGCGCGCGAUCCGCGUCGGGGACACUAACAGGUGGGGAGUUUGGCUGGGGCGGCACGUCUGUUAAAAAAUAACGCAGGCGCCCGAUUUUGAGCUCAAUGAGAACAGAAAUCUCAUGUG
RNAcentral lists this ribosomal RNA (1213 nucleotides) under seawater metagenome. RNAcentral describes it as "eukaryotic LSU rRNA". It matches the Rfam family "Eukaryotic large subunit ribosomal RNA", at positions 1467 to 2698 of the family's 3401-position model. The record is from RNAcentral.